This 454-nucleotide ribosomal RNA is filed under the name Escherichia coli. RNAcentral's name for it is "bacterial SSU rRNA". It matches the Rfam family "Bacterial small subunit ribosomal RNA", at positions 337 to 796 of the family's 1533-position model. Lineage: Bacteria; Pseudomonadati; Pseudomonadota; Gammaproteobacteria; Enterobacterales; Enterobacteriaceae. The record is from RNAcentral.
CCCUACGGGUGGCAGCAGUGGGGAAUAUUGCGCAAUGGGCGAAAGCCUGACGCAGCGACGCCGCGUGGGGGAUGAAGCUUCUCGGAGUGUAAACCCCUUUCGACCCGGACGAACGCCCGCAAGGGUUUGACGGUACGGGUAUAAGAAGCCCCGGCUAACUACGUGCCAGCAGCCGCGGUAAUACGUAGGGGGCCAGCGUUGCUCGGAAUUACUGGGCGUAAAGGGUUCGUAGGCGGUGCGGUAAGUUGGAAGUGAAAUCUCUGGGCUUAACUCAGAGGCUGCUUUCAAAACUGCCGUGCUCGAGUGCGGGAGAGGCCAGUGGAAUUGCAGGUGUAGCGGUGAAAUGCGUAGAUAUCUGCAGGAACACCCGUGGCGAAGGCGGCUGGCUGGACCGCAACUGACGCUGAGGAACGAAAGCUAGGGGAGCAAACAGGAUUAGAUACCCUAGUAGUCC